AACGAACGCUGGCGGCAUGCCUAACACAUGCAAGUCGAACGAGACCUUCGGGUCUAGUGGCGCACGGGUGCGUAACGCGUGGGAACCUGCCCUUAGGUUCGGAAUAACUCCCCGAAAGGGGUGCUAAUACCGGAUAAUGUCUUCGGACCAAAGAUUUAUCGCCUUUGGAUGGGCCCGCGUUGGAUUAGCUAGUUGGUAGGGUAAAAGCCUACCAAGGCGACGAUCCAUAGCUGGUCUGAGAGGAUGAUCAGCCACACUGGCACUGAGACACGGCCCAGACUCCUACGGGAGGCAGCAGUGGGGAAUAUUGGACAAUCGGCGAAAGCCUGAUCCAGCAAUGCCGCGUGAGUGAUGAAGGCCUUAGGGUUGUAAAGCUCUUUUACCCGGGAUGAUAAUGACAGUACCGGGAGAAUAAGCUCCGGCUAACUCCGUG
This 433-nucleotide ribosomal RNA is filed under the name uncultured bacterium. Its description in RNAcentral is "partial 16S ribosomal RNA". It matches the Rfam family "Bacterial small subunit ribosomal RNA", at positions 29 to 507 of the family's 1533-position model. The record is from RNAcentral.